CCACACAGCUGGAGAGAAGACACCCCGGAAACUGGACAGGGAGCAUGGAGAGGAAGCUGGGAGUUGUGCUGGGGAUUCUCUGUGUGCAGAUUUGCUGGGUGAGAGGAGUUGAGGUGGAGCAGAGUCCUUCAGCCCUGAGUCUCCACGAGGGAAAAAGUUCUACUCUGUCAUGCAAUUUUUCCACAUUCAUGACAAAUGUGCAGUGGUUCCGGCAGAAUUCCAGGGGCAGCAUCAUCAGUCUUUUCUACCUGGCUCCAGGAACAAAGGAGAAUGGGAGGUUAAAUUCAACAUUUGACUCCAAGGAGCGGAAGAGCACCCUUCACAUCAGAGAUGCCCAGCUGGAGGACUCUGGCACCUACCUCUGUGCUGCCUAUGCACAGUGCUCCCUGCAAGCCUGCAGCCUGUCUGCAAACUGA
This is a non-coding RNA of Alexandromys fortis (reed vole), 416 nucleotides long. Lineage: Eukaryota; Metazoa; Chordata; Mammalia; Rodentia; Cricetidae. The record is from the annotation of a RefSeq genome assembly.